GAUGAACGCUAGCGGCAGGCCUAACACAUGCAAGUCGAGGGGCAUCGCGGUGCAGCAAUGCACUGGCGGCGACCGGCGUACGGGUGCGUAACGCGUAUGCAACCUGCCCCGCACCGGGGGAUAGCCCGCCGAAAGGCGGAUUAAUACCCCAUGGCCCCGGGGGCCCGCAUGGGCAUCCGGGUAAAGCUUUGGCGGUGCGGGAUGGGCAUGCGUGCCAUUAGCUGGCUGGUGGGGUAACGGCCCACCAGGGCAACGAUGGCUAGGGGGUCUGAGAGGAUGGUCCCCCACACUGGUACUGAGACACGGACCAGACUCCUACGGGAGGCAGCAGUGAGGAAUAUUGGUCAAUGGGCGGAAGCCUGAACCAGCCAUGCCGCGUGCGGGAUGAAGGCCCUACGGGUUGUAAACCGCUUUUCCCCGGGAAGAAUAACCCCGAUGAGUCGGGUGAUGCCGGUACCGGGGGAAUAAGGAUCGGCUAACUCCGUG
Molecule: ribosomal RNA, 486 nt
Filed under: uncultured bacterium
Lineage: Bacteria
Description: bacterial SSU rRNA
Rfam family: Bacterial small subunit ribosomal RNA
Source: RNAcentral